Long non-coding RNA from Ictalurus punctatus (channel catfish), 303 nucleotides. NCBI's taxonomy places the organism in Eukaryota, Metazoa, Chordata, Actinopteri, Siluriformes, Ictaluridae. The record is from Ensembl.
CUCCAAGCUGUGUUUUAUACAGGUGUGUUACCAACGCUUCAGUGGCAUCCCUGGCUUCUUUUUUCUUCUUCCUGUGCUGUUCCACAUGGUGUACCAGAUGGGCUUGGAAUGUUUCCCAUGGUCGAACUCCAUCCCAGAGUUUCCAGCCUGCCCUAGCCUACCUUGCUCCCGCCUCCCAGGAAGACAUCACUGAUUGACGACCAUAUAUAAAGAGGAAGAGGAGGGAGAAUGGUGUGGGAUGUUGGAGGUGGUUAUGUGGGAUUUGUUGUUAGGAGAGUGUUUGGUUUGUGUUGUUUGCCCUUG